Molecule: long non-coding RNA, 313 nt
Filed under: Populus trichocarpa (black cottonwood)
Lineage: Eukaryota; Viridiplantae; Streptophyta; Magnoliopsida; Malpighiales; Salicaceae
Description: long non-coding RNA (PTRI_LNC002945)
Source: RNAcentral
UAGUGUGUAACUGUUUUUAACGGUUUCUUGAAAUGCUGCUUUACAUUGGAAAUGUGGGUUUGUGUCUCUUUAAUGAUGUUUGGUUUUGUGGAUAACAUUAUGGUUUUGUUGUCAUGAAUGUGAUUUGAUUUAGUGGGGUUUUGUUGUCAUGAAUGGGAUUUGAUUUAGUGGGGUUUUUAGGCUGUAUUAGAAAAUUUAAUUGGGGAUUUUACAGAACUGAUUCUAGUGAAUUCAAUUCGAAGAAUGGUGAGGACAGUCGCCGGUGUGGCGAGUGCAAUCAUGGUUGUUGCACUGUUACAUGCUGAAUUGAAGA